Pelobates cultripes (western spadefoot toad) is the source of this 337-nucleotide non-coding RNA. The record is from the annotation of a GenBank genome assembly. Lineage: Eukaryota; Metazoa; Chordata; Amphibia; Anura; Pelobatidae.
CUGCAAAUCACUCUGUGAGGAUACAUUUUCAGUAUCUAUUGGUUCUGGGAUUAGAUUCUGUGCCUGUAUUUUUCUUGUAUUAACACACACUAGUUUAACUUCAUUUCUAAGCUGGCAAAUAAGAUCAUUUCUUAGUUCAACUCUAUCCUCUAAUUCACAGACUUUUUCUGACAAUGUUCUCUCUGUUACUUUGUUACACUGGUCAUUUAAAUCUGAUUUGUCUUCUGUUAACCCAUUCAAAUCUACUUCUUUUUCUGCUGAUUCUAAAUUGUCUUGACCUGCAUUUCGUUUACAAAUCAAUGCAUUGUAAGUACAGACUAGUUUCAUAACAUUUCUG